Molecule: long non-coding RNA, 2772 nt
Filed under: Phoenix dactylifera (date palm)
Lineage: Eukaryota; Viridiplantae; Streptophyta; Magnoliopsida; Arecales; Arecaceae
Description: long non-coding RNA (PDAC_LNC001871)
Source: RNAcentral
AGGAAGGAGAGAAGAAAAGAGAGAGAGAGGGGGAGGGAGGAAUGGACGGAGAGAGGGAGAGACCACACGAAAAGAUGUAGAGAGGACUUAGAAGCCCUCCCUGUUUCGUUUCGAAAUAGGAGAUCCUAUUUAUUUUUUGCCAACAAGCUAUAAUAAAGUCGGCAAACCAUUUGCUGACUUCAAUUCAAAAAAAAUAACAAUCACCCCGGCAUGGUAUGGUACGGCACAGUGCAGUAUGCAACCGUACUGUACCAGGCUAAUUGCCGACCGGUAUGGGUCUCAGUAUCAGUUUGGCGAACUUUGGUGGUGGCUAUCUUAGCAAAAUAGUGCCACUAGUGGUGAAGAACUACAAGAAUGGUGCAGCACAAGCAGCAAGUAUCAGCCAUUAUUCUAGUCAUAGUAUUGAUGGUUAAGGCUAGAAGUGAGCUAGGUUAGGCUAGCUUGGGCCGCACCCCUCCCUGAGCUUGGCCUGGAAAUUCUCUUCUGGCUUCGGGCUAGGCCUAAGCCCCAAGAGAAUUUCUGAUCAAUCCCAAGCCCUGACCAAGCCCAAAUUCGAGCCUAGCCCAAAGCCCGAACGAGGCCCUACAAAAAUCGAGCUCGAGCAUGCCUGACAUGAGCUCGAACCCGAGCUCGGUGACCCUACCCUAGUAUUCGUGUACAAGAGAAAACGAGGGGGAUUUGGAGAGGGAGAAGGUCCACAAGCAAAGGUGGAGGGGAUUAGUGUUAUAGUUUGGGGCGUCAAGAGUUAGGGCAGUAAGGCUGAGGGAGCCCAUCGAGAAUCGAGGAGACAAUACUGGGACCAUGGACGAUGAUGACGAUGAAGCAGGCAAAAGCAAAGAGUGAAGAGAGCAACUGAACAGCAUCCAUGAGUUGGGGAGGGCUCGUGGCAGAGAACAUUGAGGUGGCAAGGGGGUUAGCAAGGAAGAGAGGGUGAACAUCGAGGCCUAGGGCACAAUUAUGGAGAGUGAGAAAGAGGUGGAGAAAAGCAUGAGAAUAUGAGAGGGAGCAAAAAGGUGGAGUAUUAUAACAUGGGUAACAGUGUGGGAUGUGGUAAGAGGGGUGGGUGUUAGGGAUAGGGUCAGGGUUUAGUUUGGCGGAGGGGGCAAGUUAGGCUAGGCAUCAAGUUGGGCUAUGGGUUGGACUCGUCAGGUCAAUUUAUUGUUCUGACCCUACAACCCAAACUCAAGCCCAACCAAAAUCCUUUCAAGUUAGGCUCAAGGCCUGACUCAAAGCCGACCAAGUCCUAUGGGCCUUGGGCUAGCUUGAGCCCAUUUCCAACCCUCUUGGUGGAAGAAGAAAUCGUUGUUUGGGGGUGGGGGACAGUUGUGAUAGCAAUUGCAAUAAGGAGAUGGCAAUGGCUUAAUUUUCUCCUUUUUUCCAAAAUUUUUGAAACUGAAGCAAUUUCGCUAUUGAAAAAUUUUUGAUUUCCAAAAUUAUUUUCCAAGUUGUAAACAUAAAAAGCACCCUUAAGAUGACAAGACCACUAUAUUGCCCAAGGUGCUAGGCACCAAAAAGGCGCUCUCCUGAUGAAAGCAAGGUGCUAAUAUAUGAAAAGUCUAAUAAUUGCAUUAGAAAUAAAUAACAUCUACAUCUAGAAAUAAUAUAAACAUCACAAAAUUAAUUUUCAAGUUUCAACAUCCUAAAUCAUGAUCAUCUUGAACAUUGGAUAUCAUAUUAGCUUAUGCUGCCUCUUCCGAUGGGGACGCUGAUAAUGACCUAUCUUCCUUACCAGGUGGAUUUGACAAAUCAUUCCUUUCAAAACCGGUUUGGGGCACUGAAGACGAACAGAAAGUGAAAAAGACUCCCCUUUUUCACUCAGUUAUUCCAUUUUUUGCACGACAAGCAGUCGAGAAACAAAUGAUCGAUGCUUGCAUCUUUUAAAGCAUCACAUCAAAACACCACUUCCCAUAAUAUGGUUUUGAACAAAAAAUGGAAAAAAUAAACCAUUGGACAUACUAAAUAGAUUCAGUAUUCAUACAUGAUAGUAAAAUACCACUUAGCAAAACAUGUUUCAUGCUUCUAAACAACACAACGUAAAAUAACAAACCACUGAAUAUCCUAAAGUAACCAUUUAUCUAUAUUGGUCCCAAUGGACCAAAAUCAACAUCAAAAUAAAGCUAACAGUGAUCUAAAAGAAUGGGCAAAAAGGACAACAAGAAUGUUGUCAGACAUUGGAGAGGUGCUUAAAUGACCGCCUCUCAUUUUAUCUCAAACACUCACCUAGGCACCGCCUCAAGUAAACUGGCCUUGCCUGAGGAUUUUUGAGGUGCUUAGGGGUUUCGUCACCUUGCCUAAGCAACUAGAGCACCUUUAGAACACGAUUACUUUCAAAAACAACAAAAAGAUGAAAGCAACCUCAUCAAACAUUUUUUUGGAUCUAAUUACCUUUUUUAAGAAAGAAAAGGGAACUGAGUCAAUGGCAAUUAGGCCCUUAAUAAAUUAUAUUCAUUCGAAAUAACAAAAUAGGGCAAUUCAUUCAAUCCUUGACGUACAUCUACCUAUUAUAUUUGGGUUUUGUAUACUUUUACAUUUUUAUUGCAUUGAGCUUUCAAUCAUUCAUUUGAUAAAGGGCAAAGGGAUCGAAAUGGUUCAAUUGAAUAGAUGAUUGAUAAUUGACCACCAAUUUUAGCAUUGUGACUUACCCUAUUUCACCCGUAUUGACCGACCAACAUUCCCAUCAACAUCAAAUCAUCAAACUCACCCAUUGCUCAACCUUCUCUCUUCCCGUAGAUCUUCUUGUUCCUCAAAUAAAGCAGCUAAACCCACCUCAAA